UACGUAGGGUGCGAGCGUUAAUCGGAAUUACUGGGCGUAAAGCGUGCGCAGGCGGUGAUGUAAGACAGGUGUGAAAUCCCCGGGCUUAACCUGGGAACUGCAUUUGUGACUGCAUCGCUGGAGUACGGCAGAGGGGGAUGGAAUUCCGCGUGUAGCAGUGAAAUGCGUAGAUAUCGAGAGGAACACCUGCGGCGAAGGCGGGUUGCUGGGCUGACACUGACGCUGAUGUGCGAAAGCUAGGGGAGCGAACGGG
This 253-nucleotide ribosomal RNA is filed under the name uncultured bacterium. RNAcentral's name for it is "partial 16S ribosomal RNA". It matches the Rfam family "Bacterial small subunit ribosomal RNA", at positions 524 to 776 of the family's 1533-position model. The record is from RNAcentral.